Molecule: small nuclear RNA, 264 nt
Filed under: Sorex araneus (European shrew)
Lineage: Eukaryota; Metazoa; Chordata; Mammalia; Eulipotyphla; Soricidae
Description: 7SK RNA (ENSSARG00000018982.1)
Rfam family: 7SK RNA
About the family: 7SK was discovered as an abundant small nuclear RNA in the mid-70s but a possible function has only recently been suggested. Two independent studies have found that 7SK RNA binds the CDK9/cyclin T complex (known as elongation factor P-TEFb).
Source: RNAcentral
GGAUGUGAGGAAAAUCUGGCUGCGAAAUCUGUCAUGUCAUUGGUCACCAGGGUUGAUUGGGCUGAUCUGAUUGGCUAGAUGGUUGUUCCCUUCCUCCCAAAGCUUUCCACUUGGUGCUCUCUUCAAGGGCUAUCUCUAGAGACACACCAAUUUUCCUUGAGUAUGGGAGUGGUUACACUCCCCUGCUAGUCCCUCCAAAUAAGCUCUCAAAUUUCCUGGGGUUUGAAGCAGCCCAAAUUUAUUAUUUUUCAGUGGAAGAUAUUA